Long non-coding RNA from Cygnus atratus (black swan), 1512 nucleotides. RefSeq lists it as uncharacterized. The transcript is spliced from 3 exons. NCBI's taxonomy places the organism in Eukaryota, Metazoa, Chordata, Aves, Anseriformes, Anatidae. The record is from RefSeq and is a predicted model, not a curated record.
CAUUUGCAGGAUCUGCACCCCGGAUCUGAACCAGAGCAACCCAGAGCUGCAGGUCCCAUUUGUUGGCUAAGGUGGGGGAUUUUGCUUGAAGGGACUCUGGAUGCUACAACCUGCUCCAUUCAGAAAAGCCUGGAUACUUGGUACACAGCGAAGGCUAUGGAGGAACCGCCCUUUCAUAUUUCAUUUGGAGCCACUUGUGCCUUUUGAAUGAAAUUUGGUUGUAGAAGGAACAUGGAGGAAAGGACCCCGUAAAAUGGCAGCCAAGGCCAGUGGCACUGAAUUUCCACCAUCUAUGGCUCAAAGGUCUUCCAGUACACAGGCCUACAGAGAAUAAAGGAAAAGCCACUCGAUUUUCAUGACGAAUCUGUCCAUGGGGAGGAUUCCCAAACCAGAAGAGUCAGACUCAGCCCCAGGACCUGUGCAGGAGAUGGGAACGUGACAGUAAAAACUGUGCAGGGCAGCUUUUGUACACGCUGCUUAUUGAAAAACGUAUCACUGAGUAAUAUUCAGCAAUAUUUAAUGAACUGAAUGCAGAAGUCUUUUAACAGAGGAAGUAUGCUAAAGUGCGAACUCAAGCGUAGCAAACUCAGUUUCGAUAUCUAACGGAUGAUCUGUUUAUACCAUAAUACUCCCAUGAGACUGGGCAGCAACAGCAAAGGGCAGGAAAGCUGAAGGGUUUUAGGAGAGCUGCAUUAGUACUGGCAUGUGGAGAGAUGGAAGCACAGAUGAUUUUGUCCAAAAAAAAAAAAAAAAGAUUGAAUUUCUAUGUAAAGCCAAUAUUUUAAAAAAAGCCCUAUUUAUACAAAACCAACAAAUCUGCUCCAAGGAAACACACAAAGAGAUGACUGCAAAAUAAAGCUCACUUCUAUUUACCCAGACUUCUCUCUGCAAAAAUCUUUUCUGGAUUUGUGUGCAUGACUACAAAUAUACUGUCAUGUCACUCUGGGUAUUUGUCUAAAAAAAGAGUUGUUAUUUAAUGAUACACGCUCUUUGGCUGAAAUUUAGCCACAAAGCCACACAUUUUGCAAACCAAGUAUCCAUAGUAACUAACUGCACAAUAACUGACCAUGGGUAUUUAUCAGUUUCAAAAUUAUUCACAAAUGAAACUGUUACAUAUUUAAAUUAAGCCUGUACAUUUAAUGGGCUUAAGUCCAUGAAAAAAAAAAUGUUUAUCCUAAUUAGAGCUCAGUAAAUAAUAUUCAGCAAAUCAUUUACCCUCCAAAAGCAGAUUCUGCCUUCACUUUUGGAAUGCCUAAAAGUAAAUCAUGGAUCUGUCAAAAUUCACUCAGAAUCAGCUCAAACCUUUCCUUUUGUUACUAUUUUUGAACUCAAGGAACCAAUCAUGAACUAAGCAGUAAAAAUUCACACUCAAAUACUGAAAUUGUGACAGUUGCUGAGUCUGUAGAUACAUUUGGUGGCUUAAAAACUGAAAAUACUGUGGCUUAUUAUUGUGGUUGCAUUGCAGCAGAGAUGCUGAAUGUAAAUUACCAUCAAAAGGCAAGCUUGAAGAAG